GCAAUGGUUGUUCAGUGGUAGAACUCUUGCCUUCCAUGUGGGAGAUCCGGAUUCAAUUCCCAGCCAAUGCA
This 71-nucleotide transfer RNA is filed under the name Loxodonta africana (African savanna elephant). It matches the Rfam family "tRNA". From Rfam's summary of the family: Transfer RNA (tRNA) molecules are approximately 80 nucleotides in length. Their secondary structure includes four short double-helical elements and three loops (D, anti-codon, and T loops). Further hydrogen bonds mediate the characteristic L-shaped molecular structure. tRNAs have two regions of fundamental functional importance: the anti-codon, which is responsible for specific mRNA codon recognition, and the 3' end, to which the tRNAs corresponding amino acid is attached (by aminoacyl-tRNA synthetases). tRNAs cope with the degeneracy of the genetic code in two manners: having more than one tRNA (with a specific anti-codon) for a particular amino acid; and 'wobble' base-pairing, i.e. permitting non-standard base-pairing at the 3rd anti-codon position. The record is from Rfam by way of RNAcentral. Lineage: Eukaryota; Metazoa; Chordata; Mammalia; Proboscidea; Elephantidae.